CAUACAAGGCAUACGGCUCAGUAACGCGUAGUCAACCUAACCUAUGGACGGGAAUAACCUCGGGAAACUGAGAAUAAUGCCCGAUAGAACAUUAUGCCUGGAAUGGUUUAUGAUCCAAAUGAUUUAUCGCCGUAGGAUGGGACUGCGGCCUAUCAGUUUGUUGGUGAGGUAAUGGCCCACCAAGACUAUUACAGGUACGGGCUCUGAGAGGAGUAGCCCGGAGAUGGGUACUGAGACACGGACCCAGGCCCUAUGGGGCGCAGCAGGCGAGAAAACUUUGCAAUGUGCGAAAGCACGACAAGGUUAAUCCGAGUGGUUUCUGCUAAAGAAACCUUUUGUCAGUCCUAGAAACACUGAUGAAUAAGGGGUGGGCAAGUUCUGGUGUCAGCCGCCGCGGUAAAACCAGCACCUCAAGUGGUCAGGAUGAUUAUUGGGCCUAAAGCAUCCGUAGCCGGCUCUGUAAGUUUUCGGUUAAAUCUGUACGCUCAACGUACAGGCUGCCGGGAAUACUGCAGAGCUAGGGAGUGGGAGAGGUAGACGGUACUCGGUAGGAAGGGGUAAAAUCCUUUGAUCUAUUGAUGACCACCUGUGGCGAAGGCGGUCUACCAGAACACGUCCGACGGUGAGGGAUGAAAGCUGGGGGAGCAAACCGGAUUAGAUACCCGGGUAGUCCCAGCUGUAAACUAUGCAAACUCAGUGAUGCAUUGGCUUGUGGCCAAUGCAGUGCUGCAGGGAAGCCGUUAAGUUUGCCGCCUGGGAAGUACGUACGCAAGUAUGAAACUUAAAGGAAUUGGCGGGGGGAGCACCACAAGGGGGUGAAACCCUGCGGGUUCAAUUGGAAUUCAACGCCCGGGAAAGGGCGAAAU
Molecule: ribosomal RNA, 866 nt
Filed under: uncultured crenarchaeote
Lineage: Archaea; Thermoproteati; Thermoproteota
Description: bacterial SSU rRNA
Rfam family: Archaeal small subunit ribosomal RNA
Source: RNAcentral